UCGGUAAACCGAGUGUAAGAACU
This 23-nucleotide microRNA is filed under the name Dinoponera quadriceps. RNAcentral describes it as "dqu-miR-3715-5p". Lineage: Eukaryota; Metazoa; Arthropoda; Insecta; Hymenoptera; Formicidae. The record is from miRBase by way of RNAcentral.